UGCCACAGCCAUAUCACCCUGCAGCCCAAGACUGGUUGCCCACUGAAGCUAAGCAGGGUUGAGCUGGUCAGUACCUGGAUGGGAGACCUCCUGGGAAAACUAGGUUGCUGUUGGAG
This 116-nucleotide ribosomal RNA is filed under the name Sinocyclocheilus grahami. Lineage: Eukaryota; Metazoa; Chordata; Actinopteri; Cypriniformes; Cyprinidae. The record is from RNAcentral.